AACGCGAAGAACCUUACCUGGAUUUGACAUCCUCUGACAAUCACAGAGAUGUGACUUUCGUAGCAAUACGACAGAGAGACAGGUGCUGCAUGGCUGUCGUCAGCUCGUGUGGUGACAUGUUGGGUUAAGUCCCGCAACGAGCGCAACCCUUGUCUUUAGUUGCCAGCAUUCAGUUGGGCACUCUAAAGAGACUGCCGUGGUUAACACGGAGGAAGGUGGGGAUGACGUCAAGUCCUCAUGGCCUUUAUAUCCAGGGCGACACACGUGAUACAAUGGACGGUACAAAGGGACGCCAAGAGGCAACUCGGAGCUAAUCUCAAAAAGCCGUUCUCAGUUCGGAUUGGAGUCUGCAACUCGACUCCAUGAAGUUGGAAUCGCUAGUAAUCGCGGAUCAGCACGCCGCGGUGAAUACGUUCCCGGGCCUUGUACACACCGACAUA
RNAcentral lists this ribosomal RNA (440 nucleotides) under uncultured bacterium. Its description in RNAcentral is "bacterial SSU rRNA". It matches the Rfam family "Bacterial small subunit ribosomal RNA", at positions 958 to 1397 of the family's 1533-position model. The record is from RNAcentral.